This 113-nucleotide small nucleolar RNA is filed under the name Echinops telfairi (small Madagascar hedgehog). RNAcentral's name for it is "Small nucleolar RNA SNORA61 (ENSETEG00000024854.1)". Lineage: Eukaryota; Metazoa; Chordata; Mammalia; Afrosoricida; Tenrecidae. The record is from RNAcentral.
AAACUCCAGGUCCCUUACUCCUCUGAUCUGAACAUUGGUCUGUGUGGCUUUAAAAAAGGAGGGAAGGUAAACAUGAAAAGACAGUUUCGAUGCGCGUAAGACUGCAGCCACGC